AAUAAACCGAUAAAGAAGAUUAGUAAUUUUUAUGGAGCUUUAAAGAGAGCGAGUCACUUGGUGAGAGACUUGUAGGUGAAGUUUAAAUGAAUGGACUUCUGAGGGUGGGAAGAAAUAAAUCUUUGAUUUAGAGUAAUGCCCGACGGGACUUAGCCGUUAAAAUAAGACCAAUAUGUUAGUAUUGAUGAGAGGGUGCUUUAUGCAAAUUUGGGUGGUACCGCAGAAGUUAAGACUUUUGUCCCAUUA
Molecule: non-coding RNA, 246 nt
Filed under: Peptoniphilus harei
Lineage: Bacteria; Bacillati; Bacillota; Tissierellia; Tissierellales; Peptoniphilaceae
Description: T-box sequence
Rfam family: T-box leader
About the family: Uncharged tRNA acts as the effector for transcription antitermination of genes in the T-box leader family. T-boxes are found upstream of many aminoacyl-tRNA synthetase genes and some amino acid biosynthetic genes usually in Gram-positive bacteria.
Source: RNAcentral